Molecule: ribosomal RNA, 217 nt
Filed under: uncultured bacterium
Lineage: Bacteria
Description: partial 16S ribosomal RNA
Rfam family: Bacterial small subunit ribosomal RNA
Source: RNAcentral
UACGUAGGGUGCGAGCGUUGUCCGGAAUUAUUGGGCGUAAAGGGCUCGUAGGCGGUUUGUCGCGUCUGCUGUGAAAACCUAAGGCUCAACCUUGGGCUUGCAGUGGGUACGGGCAGACUAGAGUGCGGUAGGGGUGACUGGAAUUCCUGGUGUAGCGGUGGAAUGCGCAGAUAUCAGGAGGAACACCGAUGGCGAAGGCAGGUCACUGGGCCGCAAC